RNAcentral lists this ribosomal RNA (276 nucleotides) under uncultured Lactobacillus sp. RNAcentral describes it as "partial 16S ribosomal RNA". It matches the Rfam family "Bacterial small subunit ribosomal RNA", at positions 70 to 339 of the family's 1533-position model. The record is from RNAcentral. Lineage: Bacteria; Bacillati; Bacillota; Bacilli; Lactobacillales; Lactobacillaceae.
UGAUUGAGAUUUUAACACGAAGUGAGUGGCGAACGGGUGAGUAACACGUGGGUAACCUGCCCAGAAGCAGGGGAUAACACCUGGAAACAGAUGCUAAUACCGCAUAACAACUUGGACCGCAUGGUCCGAGUUUGAAAGAUGGCUUCGGCUAUCACUUUUGGAUGGUCCCGCGGCGUAUUAGCUAGUUGGUGAGGUAAAGGCUCACCAAGGCAGUGAUACGUAGCCGACCUGAGAGGGUAAUCGGCCACAUUGGGACUGAGACACGGCCCAAACUCC